GUUAAUGUAGCUUAAUAACAAAGCA
RNAcentral lists this non-coding RNA (25 nucleotides) under Mus musculus (house mouse). The record is from RNAcentral. Lineage: Eukaryota; Metazoa; Chordata; Mammalia; Rodentia; Muridae.